GCCGGCGUGCUAUACAUGCAAGUCGAGCGGACAGAAGGGAGCUUGCUCCCGGAUGUUAGCGGCGGACGGGUGAGUAACACGUGGGUAACCUGCCUGUAAGACUGGGAUAACUCCGGGAAACCGGAGCUAAUACCGGAUAGUUCCUUGAACCGCAUGGUUCAAGGAUGAAAGACGGUUUCGGCUGUCACUUACAGAUGGACCCGCGGCGCAUUAGCUAGUUGGUGGGGUAAUGGCUCACCAAGGCGACAAUGCGUAGCCGACCUGAGAGGGUGAUCGGCCACACUGGGACUGAGACACGGCCCAGACUCCUACGGGAGGCAGCAGUAGGGAAUCUUCCGCAAUGGACGAAAGUCUGACGGAGCAACGCCGCGUGAGUGAUGAAGGUUUUCGGAUCGUAAAGCUCUGUUGUUAGGGAAGAACAAGUGCGAGAGUAACUGCUCGCACCUUGACGGUACCUAACCAGAAAGCCACGGCUAACUACGUGCCAGCAGCCGCGGUAAUACGUAGGUGGCAAGCGUUGUCCGGAAUUAUUGGGCGUAAAGGGCUCGCAGGCGGUUUCUUAAGUCUGAUGUGAAAGCCCCCGGCUCAACCGGGGAGGGUCAUUGGAAACUGGGAAACUUGAGUGC
This 626-nucleotide ribosomal RNA is filed under the name Bacillus cereus. RNAcentral describes it as "bacterial SSU rRNA". It matches the Rfam family "Bacterial small subunit ribosomal RNA", at positions 38 to 649 of the family's 1533-position model. Lineage: Bacteria; Bacillati; Bacillota; Bacilli; Caryophanales; Bacillaceae. The record is from RNAcentral.